GACGAACGCUGGCGGCGUGCUUAACGCAUGCAAGUCGAACGAUGAAGCCGGAGCUUGCUCCGGUGGAUUAGUGGCGAACGGGUGAGUAACACGUGAGCAAUCUGCCCUUGACUCUGGGAUAACUGCGGGAAACUGUAGCUAAUACCGGAUACGACACCUUGGGGCAUCCCAGGGUGUGGAAAGAAUUUCGGUCAAGGAUGAGCUCGCGGCCUAUCAGCUAGUUGGUGAGGUAAUGGCUCACCAAGGCGACGACGGGUAGCCGGCCUGAGAGGGUGACCGGCCACACUGGAACUGAGACACGGUCCAGACUCCUACGGGAGGCAGCAGUGGGGAAUAUUGCACAAUGGGCGAAAGCCUGAUGCAGCAACGCCGCGUGAGGGAUGAAGGCCUUCGGGUUGUAAACCUCUUUUAGCAGGGAAGAAGCGAGAGUGACGGUACCUGCAGAAAAAGCACCGGCUAACUACGUGCCAGCAGCCGCCGUAA
RNAcentral lists this ribosomal RNA (483 nucleotides) under uncultured bacterium. Its description in RNAcentral is "partial 16S ribosomal RNA". It matches the Rfam family "Bacterial small subunit ribosomal RNA", at positions 28 to 523 of the family's 1533-position model. The record is from RNAcentral.